Molecule: ribosomal RNA, 434 nt
Filed under: uncultured Acetanaerobacterium sp.
Lineage: Bacteria; Bacillati; Bacillota; Clostridia; Eubacteriales; Oscillospiraceae
Description: partial 16S ribosomal RNA
Rfam family: Bacterial small subunit ribosomal RNA
Source: RNAcentral
ACGGGAGGCAGCAGUGGGGGAUAUUGCACAAUGGAGGAAACUCUGAUGCAGCAACGCCGCGUGAAGGAAGAAGGCCUUCGGGUUGUAAACUUCUGUCCUUGGUGACGAUAAUGACGGUAGCCAAGGAGGAAGCCACGGCUAACUACGUGCCAGCAGCCGCGGUAAUACGUAGGUGGCAAGCGUUGUCCGGAAUUACUGGGUGUAAAGGGUGCGUAGGCGGCUCAUAAAGUCAGAUGUGAAAUACCGAGGCUUAACCUCGGAGCUGCAUUUGAAACUUAUGGGCUUGAGUGAAGUAGAGGUAAGCGGAAUUCCUAGUGUAGCGGUGAAAUGCGUAGAUAUUAGGAGGAACACCGGUGGCGAAGGCGGCUUGCUGGGCUUUUACUGACGCUGAGGCUCGAAAGCAUGGGUAGCAAACAGGAUUAGAUACCCUGGUA